Molecule: long non-coding RNA, 189 nt
Organism: Haliotis rubra (blacklip abalone)
Lineage: Eukaryota; Metazoa; Mollusca; Gastropoda; Lepetellida; Haliotidae
Exons: 3
Source: RefSeq, a predicted model, not a curated record
AAAACACAUGUGUGAUGAUGAAUGUGCGAAAUAUUUUCCACAUUUUGCUAGCCAGUCGGGUUAGUUAUGCCUGAAAGUCACUUGCCCACAAAUAAUUCACUAGAUUGAGUUGCUAGUAUGAUGAAUGAUUUAUCGGGCCAUAAUCUUGCAUGACUUAAAAGUGUAUUCUAACUUAACAAGUCGGAGAGA